CAAUAGCGUAUUUUAAUGUUGUUGCAGUUAAAAAGCUCGUAGUCGAACUUCUGGCCGGAAUACUAAGCCUACGGCUUUAGCUAGUCCAGGUCAUCCGCUUGUGAUAAUUUGUCGUGAUUCAUCUCUCGCUUAUAGGAUCAGGCACUUUACUUUGAAGAAAUCAGAGUGUUUCAGGCAGGCUUUCGCUUGAAUACACCAGCAUGGAAUAAUAGAAUAGGACUGCUAUCUUUUAAAUGGUUCAAAGACAGUAGUAAUGAUUAAUAGGAACAGUUGGGGGCAUUUGUAUAUAAUAGUCAGAGGUGAAAUUCUUCGAUUUAUUAUAGACAAACUAAUGCGAAGGCAUUUGCCAAGGAUGUUUUCAUUGAUCAAGAACGAAGAUCA
This 381-nucleotide ribosomal RNA is filed under the name uncultured eukaryote. Its description in RNAcentral is "bacterial SSU rRNA". It matches the Rfam family "Eukaryotic small subunit ribosomal RNA", at positions 592 to 992 of the family's 1831-position model. The record is from RNAcentral.